GGCUCAGUGGUGCAAUGGUAAGGCGUUCGUCGCCGAGUCAGAGGGUCCUGGGUUCGAUACGCAGCGGGGUCG
This 72-nucleotide transfer RNA is filed under the name Schistosoma japonicum. RNAcentral's name for it is "tRNA-Arg". Lineage: Eukaryota; Metazoa; Platyhelminthes; Trematoda; Strigeidida; Schistosomatidae. The record is from RNAcentral.